GACGAACGCUGGCGGCGUGCUUAAUACAUGCAAGUCGAACGGAAAGGCCCUGAGUUUGUGGGGCGCACGAGUGGGGAAAGGGUGAGUAACACGUGAGUAAACUGUACUUGAAAUUGGGAUAAAAUUAGGAAAAUGGGGAUAAUAUAGGAUAGGAGAUCCUGCUGCACGGGGGGGGUUGGAAAGUUUCGGCUGUUUGGGAUGGAAUAGCGGCUUAUCAGCUUGUUGGUGGAGUAGUGGAAUACCAAGGCUUUGAAGGAUAGCCGGCCUUAGAGGGUGGCCAGCCACAUUGGUACUAAGGUACGGCCCAGUCGCCUACCGGCGGCAACAGUGGAGAGUAUUACGCAAUGGGCGCAAGCCUGUUGCAGCAACCCCGCGUUCGGAAUGACGUCCUUCUAGUUAUAAACCUCUGUCUCCUUUGACGUACCGUUAUUGACGGUAAUGAGUAAAAAAGCACCGGCUAACUACGUG
RNAcentral lists this ribosomal RNA (468 nucleotides) under uncultured bacterium. RNAcentral's name for it is "partial 16S ribosomal RNA". It matches the Rfam family "Bacterial small subunit ribosomal RNA", at positions 28 to 507 of the family's 1533-position model. The record is from RNAcentral.